GGGCGGUUCGCCGCUGACGACGUCGCGAGAAGUUCACUGAACCUUAUCAUUUAGAGGAAGGAGAAGUCGUAACAAGGUUUCCGUAGGUGAACCUGCGGAAGGAUCAUUG
This 109-nucleotide ribosomal RNA is filed under the name Eremogone bryophylla. Its description in RNAcentral is "partial 18S ribosomal RNA". It matches the Rfam family "Eukaryotic small subunit ribosomal RNA", at positions 1724 to 1831 of the family's 1831-position model. RNAcentral also lists the same sequence under 15 other names. Lineage: Eukaryota; Viridiplantae; Streptophyta; Magnoliopsida; Caryophyllales; Caryophyllaceae. The record is from RNAcentral.